Molecule: long non-coding RNA, 1624 nt
Organism: Colius striatus (speckled mousebird)
Lineage: Eukaryota; Metazoa; Chordata; Aves; Coliiformes; Coliidae
Exons: 3
Source: RefSeq, a predicted model, not a curated record
CGGCGCGGCCGCCAUCGCGCCGUGUCCGCGCCGGUACCGGCUCCCGCUGCCCUGCGCCCGGCUCUGGGUUCCCCGGAUCGAGAGGGACAGGGAACUGCCGCGGAAAGGGCAGCCUGGGGCUACCAAGACGCUGAGGGGAGUGGAACGUCUUUCUUAUGAGGAAAGGCUGCGGGACCUGGGGCUGUUCAGCCUGGAGAAGGCUGAGGGGCGAUGUCAUCAAUACCAGUACCUGAGGGGUGGGUGUCAGCGAGAGGGGGAGACGUUUUGUUUCUGUAGCGUCCAGCGACUGGACAAGGGGUAAUCGACAUCAGCUGGAACACAAAAACUUCCGCCUAAACACACAGAGAAAGUCCUUUGGUGCUGAGGGGAGCCCCGCGCCUGAGAUGUGCUACUGGGAGGCCUCAUCACAUGUCUUCAGCAGCCCUGUCCCUGCUGAGGUCCCCAUGCUGGGCAGGGGGGAGCUGCCCUCCCACUCACAGAGCGCUCUGGAUACAGCUCCCAGGUUUGGAAAGACAGCUGAACUGAUGCUUUAUCCCUCUGCCCCAUAUCUAGUGGGGCCUCUCAAGCAGGUCAGCUUGAAAGAACUAGGAAAUCACCACCCAACAGCAUUUCCUUACUUAAACCGUGUCACUUGCACAGCUUACUUGGUACGUUGUCUAUCAUUUUGUGACCAGCACAGUAUACACUGUGUUGCAGGCCUUGGGGUAAGACUCAAAAGCUUCUCUGAAGUGGUUCAGGAAAGAAAAUCUGGAAAAGCAACAAACCCUGCUACAGAGCUCAGCGCGUCACUGGAAACUGUCCAGAGCAAGCUACUGCCCAGAGUGAUGACGUGAUCCUUAGCUCCAUGCCUUGGAAACAGGUCUGGAGCCAAUAACGGCGGCUGUGCCACAAGUAUGCGUGUGAGGGAACUGCAUCCUCCCCUGACAGAGUCCGGUGUGACUAGAACUGGUGACUUCAUUCCUUAAAAUCAGGAAAUGAAAGUACAUGUGGUCAAUGGCAGCAAAGGAUACACUCUGAUUGAGCUGCCUCUGAAGAUGUGUAACUUCAUUUCUCUCUGCUCCUCAAUUAAAAACUGAGCAUGGAGAGCUUUCUUUCCUGAAAUGCUUGUUGCUUGAGAAGCAAAGGCAACCAGCUUACUUGAAGCAAAGCAGAAGAUAGAAUUCUCUAAAGCAGCACAAAGAUAUCUCAGAGAAACCACUUAGGUUGUCUAAUUUUUUCAGGCCCCAAAACCUUGGCAAAUGUCUCUAAGAAAGUUGAAUUUCUGGAGCAGGUGAGCAGAGUGCUACUUCUACUACGAUAAAAUAACUGGCAGAGUGGGCUGUUGUGUCUAAUUGCUGCUACAAGGGGUGACAACCCUCUACAGUCACUUAACUAAUUCUCAUGACCUCCUGCUAUGACACCAGCGAAGAGACAUCAAGGAAAACUUGAAACAUACAGAGACAAUGUCUUAACCAAAGCCAUACCACAAUUUUAUACUCAAGCUGGGAGUGAAGAUCCAAAUCCUGCCUCUAACCUUAGCCUCUGUUUUCCUUUGUCCAAAUAAACCUGCUCUUUAAGGCUCUCUUUCUGUCCUCAUCUUUCCUCUCAACUAGGAAAAUCCAUAUCUCUCCCAAAGCUACCAUUC